This 746-nucleotide ribosomal RNA is filed under the name uncultured bacterium. RNAcentral's name for it is "bacterial SSU rRNA". It matches the Rfam family "Bacterial small subunit ribosomal RNA", at positions 104 to 851 of the family's 1533-position model. The record is from RNAcentral.
GGGUGAGUAACACGUAUCCAACCUGCCGUCUACUCUUGGACAGCCUUCUGAAAGGAAGAUUAAUACAAGAUGGCAUCAUGAGUCCACAUGUUCACAUGAUUAAAGGUAUUCCGGUAGACGAUGGGGAUGCGUUCCAUUAGAUAGUAGGCGGGGUAACGGCCCACCUAGUCUUCGAUGGAUAGGGGUUCUGAGAGGAAGGUCCCCCACAUUGGAACUGAGACACGGUCCAAACUCCUACGGGAGGCAGCAGUGAGGAAUAUUGGUCAAUGGGCGAGAGCCUGAACCAGCCAAGUAGCGUGAAGGAUGACUGCCCUAUGGGUUGUAAACUUCUUUUAUAAAGGAAUAAAGUCGGGUAUGCAUACCCGUUUGCAUGUACUUUAUGAAUAAGGAUCGGCUAACUCCGUGCCAGCAGCCGCGGUAAUACGGAGGAUCCGAGCGUUAUCCGGAUUUAUUGGGUUUAAAGGGAGCGUAGAUGGAUGUUUAAGUCAGUUGUGAAAGUUUGCGGCUCAACCGUAAAAUUGCAGUUGAUACUGGAUAUCUUGAGUGCAGUUGAGGCAGGCGGAAUUCGUGGUGUAGCGGUGAAAUGCUUAGAUAUCACGAAGAACUCCGAUUGCGAAGGCAGCCUGCUAAGCUGCAACUGACAUUGAGGCUCGAAAGUGUGGGUAUCAAACAGGAUUAGAUACCCUGGUAGUCCACACGGUAAACGAUGAAUACUCGCUGUUUGCGAUAUACAGCAAGCGGCCAAG